CCUACGGGAGGCAGCAGUAGGGAAUUUUCCACAAUGGACGAAAGUCUGAUGGAGCAACGCCGCGUGAGUGAAGAAGGGUUUCGGCUCGUAAAGCUCUGUUGGUAGUGAAGAAAGAUAGAGGUAGUAACUCGCCUUUAUUUGACGGUAAUUACUUAGAAAGUCACGGCUAACUACGUGCCAGCAGCCGCGGUAAUACGUAGGUGGCAAUCGUUGUCCGGAUUUUUUGGGCGUAAGGGGAGUGCAGGCGGUACAAUAAGUCUGAUGUGAAAGCCUUCGGCUCAACCGGAGAAUUGCAUCAGAAACUGUUGAACUGGAAUGCAGAAGAGGAGAGAGGAAGGCGAGGUGUAGCGGUGGAAUGCGUAGAUAUAUGGAAGAACACCAGUGGCGAAGGCGGCUCUCGAAUCUGCGACUGACGCUGAGGCACGAAAGCAUGGGUAGCGAACAGGAUUAGAUACCCUGGUAGUC
This 465-nucleotide ribosomal RNA is filed under the name uncultured bacterium. RNAcentral describes it as "partial 16S ribosomal RNA". It matches the Rfam family "Bacterial small subunit ribosomal RNA", at positions 338 to 795 of the family's 1533-position model. The record is from RNAcentral.